UACGUAGGGUGCGAGCGUUGUCCGGAAUUAUUGGGCGUAAAGAGCUCGUAGGUGGCGGGUCACGUCGGGGUGUGAAAGCCCCGGGGCUUAACUCCGGGUCUGCAUUCGAUACGGGGUCUGCUGGGGUCCGGCAGGGGAGACUGGAAUUCCUAGUGUAGCGGUGAAAUGCGCAGAUAUCAGGAGGAACACCGGUGGCGAAGGCGGGGUCUCUGGGCCGGUACCGACGCUGAGGGAGCGAAAAGCGUGGGGGGAGCGAAACAGGGA
RNAcentral lists this ribosomal RNA (264 nucleotides) under uncultured bacterium. Its description in RNAcentral is "partial 16S ribosomal RNA". It matches the Rfam family "Bacterial small subunit ribosomal RNA", at positions 524 to 778 of the family's 1533-position model. The record is from RNAcentral.